This 1038-nucleotide long non-coding RNA is filed under the name Ricinus communis (castor bean). RNAcentral's name for it is "long non-coding RNA (RCOM_LNC001789)". Lineage: Eukaryota; Viridiplantae; Streptophyta; Magnoliopsida; Malpighiales; Euphorbiaceae. The record is from RNAcentral.
CAUUUUGCAUAUAUAAAUUAUAAUAUAAUUAAUAACCUAUGAUUUUUUGGUAUUAAAAAAGAAGGAAUUAAUUAAACCACACACGCACGGGUCUGUGUCCUUUAUGAGUUGUCCCUACUCAGUAAUGAUUCAAAGCCUUUUCUGGGACCACAUGGGUUGCACGUGCAAUCACACCACUCACAUUUUUGGUUUCUACUAUUUUCUUCUUCCCCUUUUUGCCUUUCUGCCCAUAUGCCUUUGCUUUUCCCUUAUUCUCACUAUUUUAUUAUUAUUAUUAUUAUUAUUAUUAUUGAUUCCACUCCCACUCUUUCUCUAAUUCUACAUCUUCACUUUUUCAUAUUACCUUUUCUUUUCUUUUUUUGAAAUCUUUUGUCCCUUUUCGUGUUGACGAAUAUUAGUGAAAUGAAGAUUUAAUCGAAGUCUAUUUAUUUAAAAUAUUUUUAUACAUAUAAAUAUAACUGCCUUUUACAUCCUUUCUGCCAGGUAAUAGUAAGCUAAUACCGUAUUAUUGAUAGUUUAAUAUUCCUAUUUCUGUUGACCUGAAGCUUUUGAAAAGGAUGAAAAUGGAGUUUUUCUUUUUUUCUUUUUCAUUGUCUCUGAUCUUAAUGAAGUUAAACCAGAAACUCUCUGGUACCCGAUUUAAUAAUUUCCUAUGCUAUUUGUUUAAAGAACUUACUCCAGUUGACAAGAAGGAUUCUUUUGUUCACAGAAUGUUUUACACAAUAAGUUUAAUGGUUUGGCAGGAAGUUUAAAGAAAAAUCAAUCUUUGAAGGAAGGAACCCUUUUUGAUCCGGAGAACAUUCUGGGUGCAGAAAAAGAAAAGAGAUAAAGUUUCCUUCCUAGGCAAGCGCACCAUGCAGUAAUUGGCGUUCAACUUUGUGUGUGUGUGGUAUAAAUAUUGAUAAAUCAAGACAGGCGGUACAAAAACUGAGAGAUGUACAGAGAGCAGCAUCCGACCUUUGGGUCACCAUGGAGGUUAGGUAGGCAUGGUUCGACCAAUAAAGCCUUGGUGGUCCUCUCCUGGGCUCCAAAUACGCC